RNAcentral lists this ribosomal RNA (508 nucleotides) under uncultured bacterium. RNAcentral describes it as "partial 16S ribosomal RNA". It matches the Rfam family "Bacterial small subunit ribosomal RNA", at positions 30 to 523 of the family's 1533-position model. The record is from RNAcentral.
AUUGAACGCUAACGGCGUGCUUAACACAUGCAAGUCGAGCGGCAGCAUGAUCUGUAGCAAUACAGAUUGAUGGCGAGCGGCGGACGGGUGAGUAAUGCAUAGGAAUCUGCCUUGUAGUGGGGGAUAACCCGGGGAAACUCGGGCUAAUACCGCAUAAUCUCUACGGAGCAAAGUGGGGGAUCGUAAGACCUCACGCUAAAAGAUGAGCCUAUGCUGGAUUAGCUAGUUGGUGAGGUAAUGGCUCACCAAGGCGACGAUCCAUAGCUGGUCUGAGAGGAUGAUCAGCCACACUGGGACUGAGACACGGCCCAGACUCCUACGGGGGGCAGCAGUGGGGAAUAUUGGACAAUGGGCGAAAGCCUGAUCCAGCAACGCCGUGGGUGUGAAGAAGGCCUUCGGGUUGUAAAGCACUUUUAGUUGGGAAGAAAAGCUCAUGGGUAAUAUCCAUGAGUGCUGACGUUACCAACAGAAAAAGCACUGGCUAACUCUGUGCCAGCCGCCGCAGUAA